RNAcentral lists this ribosomal RNA (252 nucleotides) under uncultured bacterium. Its description in RNAcentral is "partial 16S ribosomal RNA". It matches the Rfam family "Bacterial small subunit ribosomal RNA", at positions 524 to 776 of the family's 1533-position model. The record is from RNAcentral.
UACGAAGGGGCUAGCGUUGUUCGGAUUUACUGGGCGUAAAGCGCACGUAGGCGGAUCGUUAAGUCGGGGGUGAAAUCCUGGAGCUCAACUCCAGAACUGCCUUCGAUACUGGCGAUCUUGAGUCCGGAAGAGGUGAGUGGAACUCCUAGUGUAGAGGUGGAAUUCGUAGAUAUUAGGAAGAACACCAGUGGCGAAGGCGGCUCACUGGUCCGGUACUGACGCUGAGGUGCGAAAGCGUGGGGAGCAAACAGG